CGGCAAUUAAAGAACGGAAUUCCUCCUUGAACCUAAUUCACUCUCCUUUGUGGGCAGUUAUUCGUGAGUCACACGAACCAUCCAGAAAGAACAGGUGGCGAGUUCAUCAACCCUAAUGUAGUAAUGUAGUAUCGGGGAGAAGGGACUAAGAAGAAACGUCGAGCCAACUAUAGACAAUGUCGCGAGAGCCGAGGCGCUGUCGGCUCCAUCAAUGCGUUAUCGGGUCCUUCAAAUAAAUAACUUCGCCGAAAAGACCUACGUGACCCUGGCUACGAGCGUCUGCGGAACACGUGUGCGGUGGGCCUAGCAAAAGACACAAGAAUGCUGCAACGGCCAGAGAGGCAGUUGAGAAGCGGAGUGCGAGUUGAGCGGACACGGAGUGUGCAUCGACGUGCGCGAUAUUGUAGUCGGUCCUCUUGUAUUUGAAUAUCACUUAUUAAAAUACAUUAAACUUUAAACUCUA
Bombus huntii is the source of this 463-nucleotide long non-coding RNA. RefSeq lists it as uncharacterized. Lineage: Eukaryota; Metazoa; Arthropoda; Insecta; Hymenoptera; Apidae. The record is from RefSeq and is a predicted model, not a curated record. The transcript has 2 exons.